Molecule: transfer RNA, 73 nt
Organism: Camelus ferus (Wild Bactrian camel)
Lineage: Eukaryota; Metazoa; Chordata; Mammalia; Artiodactyla; Camelidae
Rfam family: tRNA
About the family: Transfer RNA (tRNA) molecules are approximately 80 nucleotides in length. Their secondary structure includes four short double-helical elements and three loops (D, anti-codon, and T loops). Further hydrogen bonds mediate the characteristic L-shaped molecular structure. tRNAs have two regions of fundamental functional importance: the anti-codon, which is responsible for specific mRNA codon recognition, and the 3' end, to which the tRNAs corresponding amino acid is attached (by aminoacyl-tRNA synthetases). tRNAs cope with the degeneracy of the genetic code in two manners: having more than one tRNA (with a specific anti-codon) for a particular amino acid; and 'wobble' base-pairing, i.e. permitting non-standard base-pairing at the 3rd anti-codon position.
Source: Rfam
ACAGGUAUAGCUCAAGUGGUAGAGUGCAUGCUUAGCAUGCAUGAAGUCCUGGAUUCAACCCCCAGAACCUCCA